This 208-nucleotide unclassified non-coding RNA is filed under the name uncultured Gloeoporus. Its description in RNAcentral is "sequence contains ITS1". The record is from RNAcentral. Lineage: Eukaryota; Fungi; Basidiomycota; Agaricomycetes; Polyporales; Irpicaceae.
UCGAGUUUUGAAACGGGUUGUCGCUGGCCUUUCACAAGGCAUUGUGCACGCCUGGCUCAUCCACUCUUCAACCUCUGUGCACUUUUUGUAGGAAAAAAAAAUGGGUUUGAAGCUGAUGCAAGUCAGUAGAUGCCUAUUUUCUUUCCUAUGUUUUUAUUACAAACGCUUCAGUUAUAGAAUGUUUACUUGCAGAUAAUGCAUUUAUAUA